UUUCUCACAGAAAAGCCUGUUUAGCUUUUCUUCCUCUUCGCUGAUACUGGACAGCAGACCAGCCGAGGUUGUUAAAGCUCAGUCUCACACAGUUUUCAGUCCAAAUGCCCAACAGGAGACUGGCAGUUGUCCCCUGGAGGUGAUGGAGGUCUUUUUUUGUCUUCUUGAUCCUCCAGAUCUUCUCGAUCAUUUUCAUUGGCUGGUUUUGUAGGAGGGACAUCAUCUGGUCCAGGGGAGGACAGGUUUGAGGAGUUGAGGUCAGAGGUCAGAUGCACCGCGCGAGGCUCAGACAGAGGAAAAGAGAAAAAGCUAAUAGAAAUCGAUUA
Poecilia latipinna (sailfin molly) is the source of this 326-nucleotide long non-coding RNA. RefSeq lists it as uncharacterized. The transcript is spliced from 4 exons. The record is from RefSeq and is a predicted model, not a curated record. NCBI's taxonomy places the organism in Eukaryota, Metazoa, Chordata, Actinopteri, Cyprinodontiformes, Poeciliidae.